CAAUAAGAGUGUUUAUGGCACUCUUUCAAAAAAAUCCAUACCCACCUUGUGUGCAAUGUAAAAAAAAAAGGAGUUUUCUGGUGGUUUGGGAGUGAGAGUUGUUUUACAACGCUCAUUUUUUUUUUUUCCUCAAGAGACACUUCUUUUUUCAUUUCAUUAUACACCUUUCUAUAAGUUUCCUAUUGUCUGAAGUACUUGGAAUAAAUAUAAUUCUAAAAUA
Molecule: unclassified non-coding RNA, 220 nt
Filed under: soil metagenome
Description: partial internal transcribed spacer 1
Source: RNAcentral